This 349-nucleotide ribosomal RNA is filed under the name uncultured bacterium. Its description in RNAcentral is "bacterial SSU rRNA". It matches the Rfam family "Bacterial small subunit ribosomal RNA", at positions 917 to 1291 of the family's 1533-position model. The record is from RNAcentral.
GGGCCCGCACAAGCGGUGGAGCAUGUGGUUUAAUUCGAUGAUACGCGAGGAACCUUACCAGGGCUUAAAUGUAAGUUGCAUUAGUUAGAGAUAGCUAUUUCUUCGGACCACUUACAAGGUGCUGCAUGGUUGUCGUCAGCUCGUGCCGUGAGGUGUCAGGUUAAGUCCUAUAACGAGCGCAACCCCUGUUGUUAGUUGCCAGCGAGUCAUGUCGGGAACUCUAACAAGACUGCCGGUGCAAACCGUGAGGAAGGUGGGGAUGACGUCAAAUCAUCACGGCCCUUACGUCCUGGCUACACACGUGCUACAAUGGCAGUGACAAUGGGUUAAUCCCAAAAAGCUGUCUCAG